RNAcentral lists this non-coding RNA (27 nucleotides) under Drosophila melanogaster (fruit fly). The record is from RNAcentral. Lineage: Eukaryota; Metazoa; Arthropoda; Insecta; Diptera; Drosophilidae.
GCUUUCAACACCGCCAGAUGGCCCGUA